GAUGAACGCUGGCGGCGUGCUUAACACAUGCAAGUCGAACGGAAAGGCCCUGCUUUUGUUGGGUUCUCGUGUGGCGAACGGGUGAGUAACACGUGAGUAUCACGCCCCUGUCUUUGUGGUAUCUCCACGAGACUGGGGCUCUUACACCGUAGAAUCUCUUGCUGCACAGUGUGGGUUGGAAAGUUUCGGCUGUUGGGGCUGGACUCGCGGGUUAUGCGCUAGAUGGGGGAGUAGUGGCAUUCCAAGGCUUUGAAGGCUAGCCGGCCUGAGAGGGUUACCGGCCACAUUGGGACUGAGGUAGGGACCAGACUGGUAUGGGCGGCAAUAGGGGGGAACAUUGCACAACGGGCGGAAGCCUGAUGCAGCAACGUCGCGUGCGGGAAGACGGCCUUCGAGUUGUGAACCGCUGUGGCCUGUGACGAAGCGUGAGUGACGGUAAUGGGUAAAGAAGCACCGGCUAACUACGUG
RNAcentral lists this ribosomal RNA (468 nucleotides) under uncultured bacterium. Its description in RNAcentral is "partial 16S ribosomal RNA". It matches the Rfam family "Bacterial small subunit ribosomal RNA", at positions 28 to 507 of the family's 1533-position model. The record is from RNAcentral.